Long non-coding RNA from Mastomys coucha (southern multimammate mouse), 1919 nucleotides. RefSeq lists it as uncharacterized. Lineage: Eukaryota; Metazoa; Chordata; Mammalia; Rodentia; Muridae. The transcript is spliced from 7 exons. The record is from RefSeq and is a predicted model, not a curated record.
UUGGCCCGUGGAACAUAUUACACAUGCAUCUGACUUCAAGAUUCAGUCAUUGGUUCUUCAAAUAUAUUUUUUUCAAGUCCCAAAUGGCUGUUGGACCUCAUCCUGAGAACAUCAGUGAGAAAAAGAAGUUACAUAUUGAUGGGGGAAGACAACAAUGCAUAAGAUCAAAACAUUUCACCAUAUAUUUGGAGCCCGAUUCUAAUGACUGGUGUUAUACUUGUCUUGAACUGGGUAAUGGCAUCUGCUUGUUUGAACAAUUCAAAAGUUUGAGUCCAGAAGUUUGGCUUUGGAAGCUCUUUAAAUGUUAAUUCUUCCCUGGAAAGUGUCCUGAGCUUUGAAGACAACCAUUAUCACCCAGCUAUUUCUAUUGGUAGAAAUGAGCAGCCUGAGAUGUUCUCCAGUUACUCUCCAGGAACAAUGGGAGGACUCAAGCGAGUCACUGAUGAGGAAUAACAUCAGAUGGCCACAUCUUCAUCCACCCACUCUCGAAACUUGCAGGCGCAUACUUCAGGGUUUCCCCGAAUAUGAUCUGGUGAAACGGAUAACCUCCAGUUUACCCCUGAAGGACGUCGGCUGUAGAAAGGGAAGAUUCCUGCCACUUGUCAGCAGACUUGGCUCUCAGUAAACAUUUGACGUUUAUGAAAAUCUAACUGUCCUGUCAGAGAGUGAUUUCUGCAUUUGGCAUUUGAAAGACUAUGAAGGAGGCUUGAGUGGCAGUGCGACCAUGUUCCUGAGCACAGGACAGCUUUGCAAGGAUACUGCUUGGAAGUGGACUGCAUAGGCAUUUUAGGUCUAUGGAGAAGAGGGCAACACCUUCCAAAAGGUUAUUAAAUAAUACAUGAAGACAACGGCUCAUGAAAUAUAGACAGUUCUGAGGUUUGUGUACAAGUGACAUAGAAGCAUGGGGUGAGACAUGGGAGAGUCCUUCUCAUUGACUUGAUAUGUGGCCAUCUUCUGGGACAUGCCAGCCUUGGAGAGGAAGAAGAGCCAGAAUACUACAAGCCUCAAACACAUGCAUUCGAGCAGAUUGAGAUCAGAUUGCUGGGGGACAAUAAAGAUGGAUAAAGCUAAGCCUGGCCUAAAUCGGCAUUUCAAGAUUCAUGGGGUGGACAAAGGGUGCUGUUAUUUAUGAUGGAGAGGAAGGAGGAGAAGCAUCUCUUGUGAAUCGCUAGGCAGGUGUUUGCUCUCUGGGGAAGUGAUAGGAAACUCAUCCCUGACCUGAGGUUACUUGGAGGAAAGAACUUCUUUUGGUUUUGUUUCUCUGCUUGGUGUACAAGCCAGUGCCUUAUCUAAGGAAAAAGAAAGCAUCCCUGGAUGUCCCCAAGGGAAGAAUGAUCACUCUAUUAGGGAAUUAAGGUCAUCUAGAGAUCCUGUUUCCUAUUGCACAUGAAUAUGGAAUCCGGUAACAGAAUAAACAUGACAUUUGGAAUGCUCCUAGAGCAUACUUAGGGCAACUGGCAAGACUGACAUAGCUUUUACUGAUUUGUCUGUUUAGUGAGUGGACAGGAUGCCAGUCUGGCAGUUUGAAUUGGCAAUAAAUCACUACUAGACAUUUUAUUUAAAAUCUGGCACUGGCUUGGGAGAGGUGAGGGAUUGUCGAUUUGUUUUUAUUUUGAGGCCAGGCACAAUCAUAACACAAACAGGCCACCUGGAAACUUUAGCACAUAUGUAAAAGUGUGGCCCUGGUCUGUGGCUAUUGCAUGCUUGGCAGGAGCAGGGAGAGGUAAAUGACAGUGUAGGCAUUCCUGACCAGGAAGACCCUGGCAGACCUGGGUAGCCCGAGGCAGCCCUGCUGGAAACCACACUGAAUCUGAAAGUGUGAUAUAGGAAGGCUAUCAUCAGCAUAAUAGAUGAGAUAAAAUUUGGUUUCCUCUUUUAUUGGGAUGUUCUCAGAGUACAUUAGGAACACACAAUCAAUG